GCAAUGGUAGUUCAAUGGUGAAAUGCUCACCUUCCAUACUGGAGACCUGGGUUUGAUUCCCAGCCGAUGCA
Molecule: transfer RNA, 71 nt
Filed under: Loxodonta africana (African savanna elephant)
Lineage: Eukaryota; Metazoa; Chordata; Mammalia; Proboscidea; Elephantidae
Rfam family: tRNA
About the family: Transfer RNA (tRNA) molecules are approximately 80 nucleotides in length. Their secondary structure includes four short double-helical elements and three loops (D, anti-codon, and T loops).
Source: Rfam by way of RNAcentral